GUGGGGAAUCUUGCGCAAUGGGCGAAAGCCUGACGCAGCCAUGCCGCGUGAAUGAUGAAGGUCUUAGGAUUGUAAAAUUCUUUCACCGGGGACGAUAAUGACGGUACCCGGAGAAGAAGCCCCGGCUAACUUAGUGCCAGCAGCCGCGGUAAUACGAAGGGGGCUAGCGUUGCUCGGCAUUACUGGGCGUAAAGGGCGCGUAGGCGGACAGUUUAGUCAGAGGUGAAAGCACAGGGCUCAACCUUGGAAUUGCCUUUGAUACUGUCAGUCUUGAGUACGGGAGAGGUGAGUGGAACUCCGAGUGUAGAGGUGAAAUUCGUAGAUAUUCGGAAGAACACCAGUGGCGAAGGCGACUCACUGGCCCGUUACUGACGCUGAGGCGCGAAAGCGUGGGGAGCAAACAGGAUUAGAAACCCUGGUAGUCC
Molecule: ribosomal RNA, 425 nt
Filed under: uncultured bacterium
Lineage: Bacteria
Description: bacterial SSU rRNA
Rfam family: Bacterial small subunit ribosomal RNA
Source: RNAcentral